RNAcentral lists this ribosomal RNA (700 nucleotides) under Mycobacterium sp. L1970. Its description in RNAcentral is "bacterial SSU rRNA". It matches the Rfam family "Bacterial small subunit ribosomal RNA", at positions 27 to 744 of the family's 1533-position model. Lineage: Bacteria; Bacillati; Actinomycetota; Actinomycetes; Mycobacteriales; Mycobacteriaceae. The record is from RNAcentral.
GGACGAACGCUGGCGGCGUGCUUAACACAUGCAAGUCGAACGGAAAGGCCCUUCGGGGUACUCGAGUGGCGAACGGGUGAGUAACACGUGGGUGAUCUGCCCUGCACUUUGGGAUAAGCCUGGGAAACUGGGUCUAAUACCGAAUAUGAUCAUGCGCCUCAUGGUGUGUGGUGGAAAGCUUUUGCGGUGUGGGAUGGGCCCGCGGCCUAUCAGCUUGUUGGUGGGGUAAUGGCCUACCAAGGCGACGACGGGUAGCCGGCCUGAGAGGGUGUCCGGCCACACUGGGACUGAGAUACGGCCCAGACUCCUACGGGAGGCAGCAGUGGGGAAUAUUGCACAAUGGGCGCAAGCCUGAUGCAGCGACGCCGCGUGAGGGAUGACGGCCUUCGGGUUGUAAACCUCUUUCAGCAGGGACGAAGCGCAAGUGACGGUACCUGUAGAAGAAGCACCGGCCAACUACGUGCCAGCAGCCGCGGUAAUACGUAGGGUGCGAGCGUUGUCCGGAAUUACUGGGCGUAAAGAGCUCGUAGGUGGUUUGUCGCGUUGUCCGUGAAAACUCACAGCUUAACUGUGGGCGUGCGGGCGAUACGGGCAGACUGGAGUACUGCAGGGGAGACUGGAAUUCCUGGUGUAGCGGUGGAAUGCGCAGAUAUCAGGAGGAACACCGGUGGCGAAGGCGGGUCUCUGGGCAGUAACUGAC